CAUGGCGAUCUCCACCACCCUCAAACCCUGCCGCCGGCUGUUGAUCGGUUGCACGAGAACCGUCGGAUUCUUGCCGAACUGCCCCCGCCGCCUGCCCUCCGCCACCGACCACCACUCCCUCCACCGCCUCCCCCGCCCCGCCGACCCCGAACCCGCCCGGCCCCGCCCCUACGCUUCCCCGAGCCACAGGGGCAUUCUGGGAAUCCCCGCCGCCGUCUCGGACCUCCGCCGCUUCUCCACCUCCUCGGAGCCGUUCCCCGGUGGCGGCGAUAAGGCCUUUGAUAGGAUUUACAUCCAGGGCAUGGCCGUGAAGCCCC
This 317-nucleotide long non-coding RNA is filed under the name Elaeis guineensis (African oil palm). Its description in RNAcentral is "long non-coding RNA (EGUI_LNC026951)". Lineage: Eukaryota; Viridiplantae; Streptophyta; Magnoliopsida; Arecales; Arecaceae. The record is from RNAcentral.